Molecule: ribosomal RNA, 498 nt
Filed under: uncultured bacterium
Lineage: Bacteria
Description: partial 16S ribosomal RNA
Rfam family: Bacterial small subunit ribosomal RNA (bases 20-341)
Source: RNAcentral
GAUGAACGCUGGCGGCGUGCCUAAUACAUGCAAGUCGAGCGAACAGACGAGGAGCUUGCUCCUCUGACGUUAGCGGCGGACGGGUGAGUAACACGUGGACAACCUACCUAUAAGACUGGGAUAACUUCGGGAAACCGGAGCUAAUACCGGAUAAUAUAUUGAACCGCAUGGUUCAAUAGUGAAAGACGGUUUUGCUGUCACUUAUAGAUGGAUCCGCGCCGCAUUAGCUAGUUGGUAAGGUAACGGCUUACCAAGGCAACGAUGCGUAGCCGACCUGAGAGGGGGGGGGGCCAACCGGGGAAGGAGGACAGGGACAAACCCCAUGGGGAGGGAGCAGGAGGGAAAUGUUGGGGAAGGGAGAAAGGCAGGAGGAGGAAGGGCGGGGGGAGGAAGGAGGUUGUCGGAUGGAAAAAAUUUUUUUAUAGGGAAAAAAAAAGGUGGAAAGAAAGAGGGCGGGGCUUGAGGGAACAUAAAAAAAAAGCGCGGGCAAACUACGUG